UAAAUUGAGAGUUUGAUCCUGGCUCAGGAUGAACGCUGGCGGCGUGCCUAAUACAUGCAAGUCGAACGAAACUUCUUUAUCACCGAGUGCUUGCACUCACCGAUAAAGAGUUGAGUGGCGAACGGGUGAGUAACACGUGGGCAACCUGCCCAAAAGAGGGGGAUAACACUUGGAAACAGGUGCUAAUACCGCAUAAUCAUAGUUACCGCAUGGUAACUAUGUAAAAGGUGGCUAUGCUACCGCUUUUGGAUGGGCCCGCGGCGCAUUAGCUAGUUGGUGAGGUAAAGGCUUACCAAGGCAAUGAUGCGUAGCCGAACUGAGAGGUUGAUCGGCCACAUUGGGACUGAGACACGGCCCAAACUCCUACGGGAGGCAGCAGUAGGGAAUCUUCCACAAUGGGCGAAAGCCUGAUGGAGCAACGCCGCGUGGGUGAAGAAGGUCUUCGGAUCGUAAAACCCUGUUGUUAGAGAAGAAAGUGCGUGAGAGUAACUGUUCACGUUUCGACGGUAUCUAACCAGAAAGCCACGGCUAACUACGUGCCAGCAGCCGCGGUAAUACGUAGGUGGCAAGCGUUAUCCGGAUUUAUUGGGCGUAAAGGGAACGCAGGCGGUCUUUUAAGUCUGAUGUGAAAGCCUUCGGCUUAACCGGAGUAGUGCAUUGGAAACUGGGAGACUUGAGUGCAGAAGAGGAGAGUGGAACUCCAUGUGUAGCGGUGAAAUGCGUAGAUAUAUGGAAGAACACCAGUGGCGAAAGCGGCUCUCUGGUCUGUAACUGACGCUGAGGUUCGAAAGCGUGGGUAGCAAACAGGAUUAGAUACCCUGGUAGUCCACGCCGUAAACGAUGAAUGCUAAGUGUUGGAGGGUUUCCGCCCUUCAGUGCUGCAGCUAACGCAAUAAGCAUUCCGCCUGGGGAGUACGACCGCAAGGUUGAAACUCAAAGGAAUUGACGGGGGCCCGCACAAGCGGUGGAGCAUGUGGUUUAAUUCGAAGCAACGCGAAGAACCUUACCAGGUCUUGACAUCUUCUGAUAAUCCUAGAGAUAGGACUUUCCCUUCGGGGACAGAAUGACAGGUGGUGCAUGGUUGUCGUCAGCUCGUGUCGUGAGAUGUUGGGUUAAGUCCCGCAACGAGCGCAACCCUUAUUGUUAGUUGCCAGCAUUAAGUUGGGCACUCUAGCAAGACUGCCGGUGACAAACCGGAGGAAGGUGGGGAUGACGUCAAAUCAUCAUGCCCCUUAUGACCUGGGCUACACACGUGCUACAAUGGACGGUACAACGAGUCGCAAGACCGCGAGGUUUAGCAAAUCUCUUAAAGCCGUUCUCAGUUCGGAUUGUAGGCUGCAACUCGCCUACAUGAAGUCGGAAUCGCUAGUAAUCGCGGAUCAGCAUGCCGCGGUGAAUACGUUCCCGGGCCUUGUACACACCGCCCGUCACACCAUGAGAGUUUGUAACACCCAAAGCCGGUGGGGUAACCUUUUGGAGCCAGCCGUCUAAGGUGGGACAGAUGAUUGGGGUGAAGUCGUAACAAGGUAGCCGUAGGAGAACCUGCGGCUGGAUCACCUCCUUUCUAAGGA
This 1571-nucleotide ribosomal RNA is filed under the name Ligilactobacillus animalis. Its description in RNAcentral is "Lactobacillus animalis 16S ribosomal RNA". It matches the Rfam family "Bacterial small subunit ribosomal RNA". The record is from RNAcentral. Lineage: Bacteria; Bacillati; Bacillota; Bacilli; Lactobacillales; Lactobacillaceae.